Molecule: ribosomal RNA, 253 nt
Filed under: uncultured bacterium
Lineage: Bacteria
Description: partial 16S ribosomal RNA
Rfam family: Bacterial small subunit ribosomal RNA
Source: RNAcentral
UACGGAGGGGGCUAGCGUUGUUCGGAAUUACUGGGCGUAAAGCGUACGUAGGCGGCUUUUUAAGUCAGAGGUGAAAUCCCGGUGCUCAACACCGGAACUGCCUUUGAGACUGGAUCGCUUGAUCACGGGAGAGGUUAGUGGAAUUCCGAGUGUAGAGGUGAAAUUCGUAGAUAUUCGGAAGAACACCAGUGGCGAAGGCGGCUAACUGGACCGUUGAUGACGCUGAGGUACGAGAGCGUGGGGAGCAAACAGG